RNA transcript from Mytilus trossulus (common blue mussel), 4822 nucleotides. It is a transcript of the gene named multiple epidermal growth factor-like domains protein 6, with no coding region annotated. Lineage: Eukaryota; Metazoa; Mollusca; Bivalvia; Mytilida; Mytilidae. The record is from RefSeq and is a predicted model, not a curated record. The transcript is spliced from 6 exons.
UUACCAUAAUCCGAUCAAUAGUUAUUGAUCGAUUAGCACACACAUAAUGUUGUCUGUCCGAGAUUACGUUCUAUAUACAUAGGUGAUCAUUAAAAUUGUAUAGGAUGAUCGUCAAGUUGAAUAACAUGCUGUAUUUGUAAACUCAACGAUGUAGAACGGACCCAAACAGCACUUUAUUUAUAAAAAUUGUGACAGUAUUUCUCAUUGAUAACUAAACCAAGUGGGUGUCGACGAUUGAAUCACCCCGAAAGGCACACAACAACAGACAACAAUAAGAGAGGAUGUGUAUUUCCUAUUCAUAUUCCGUUUAUAGUGGAAAUAAAAAAAUAUUAGUACUUUCAUAAAUGGAUAACUAUUUUGACUUUUCCUUCGCUGAAACAUGCAAAAUUAAAUUAAUUGAUGGCCGUUCGUCGAUCCUUUGUGAUUUACCUGGGACAGGUGUUAAUCACUGUGUUGAUAUUACUUCGAGGUGUAUCGGGAGACUGCUCUAACUGCAAGCCAGAUCAAUGUGAUAGCAGUCAAACAUGUGGUGAAUGUGAUGAUGGUUGGUGGGGUAACCCAUGCUUUAAAAGAUGUGGUUCUCAAUGUCCAACGAUACAAACAUCCACGGGAAUAUUUAGUAAAGUUUGUGAUAAAGACACUGGUAAAUGUAAAGGUGGUUGUAGAAACGAUGUCUACGGGGAAUACUGCAAUAAACAAUGUAGCAGCCACUGUCUACAGCUUACAGGGAGAAUAUGUGACCUUGUCAGCGGGAAAUGUUUACAUAGUUGUACUCAAGGUUACUAUGGAGAAGAUUGCACAUCGUCGUGCAGCAAAGGCUGUUAUCCUAUACUAGUGAGAGGUGCUGGUUUCGUUAACAAAUGUAGCCCACUAACCGGAAUUUGUGAAAGUGACAAGGACUGUAAACCAGGCUGGUGUGGAACAAAAUGCGACUUAUCAUGCGGAACUAACUGUAAAACUACACAUAACGAUUUUUUUCGGGAAGAUGUAAAGCAAUGUUCUUGCACAACAGGAAGUUGCACAGAUGGGUGCGAGUCCGGUUGGUACGGUGAGAAUUGUGAAUGUACAGCAGCUAAUUUGAAAUGUGAUGAAUUUGGAUGCAAUAAAACCACAAGACUGUGCAACUCAUGUCUAACUGGGUACCAUGGGGAUAUGUGUGAUCAGACUUGUCCUCAAAGCUGCGGACCAGAAGGGUGUCACAGAAACAACGGAACAUGCAUAAACUGUAAAAAUGAUUUGUAUGGACCUCAAUGCCUAUGUAAAGGUCAUUGCGGCCUUGCUGGUUGCGAUAGUCAAGGAGACUGUCGUUCAUGUGCGUCAGGUUGGCAUGGAAGUCGCUGUUUAGACGCAUGUAUUGGAAACUGUAAAGAAAACUGCGACAGAAAUAAUGGGAAAUGUUUGUCAUGUCGUGACGGAUUCUAUGGAGAACAAUGCGGAGCGCGUUGUCCAUUAAACUGCCACGAAACCCUUUGUGAACAAGAUACGGGGCACUGUUUUCAGUGUGUGAUGGGAUUCUAUUCAGAAAAUUGCUCUUUAACGUGUCCAGUGGGAUGUGACAGCUCGGGAUGUAAAAAAAUAACAGGUGCUUGUGAUACCUGUAAACGUGGUUUUACUGGAAAUCAAUGCAAAUGUCAUGGGUAUUGUUCGGGAGAAGGAUGUAUAAGCACUACCGGCUUAUGUAAAAACUGUCAGUCUGGAUAUUACGAAACUUCUUGUGACAAAUCAUGUCCUAAAAAUUGUAAAGAUAAUGAAUGUGAAAGACAAUAUGGAAAGUGCUAUUCGUGUAAAGAUGGUUAUUACGGAUCUGUCUGUAUUUGCUCAGGUAAUUGCAAAAACGACCAAUGCAAUGAGCGCGGAGUAUGCGCUGAGUGUUCCAGUGGUUGGUAUGGUGAAUUCUGUACCAUCAAAUGUUCCGUCAACUGUGAUGGUGGAUGCGACAGAAUCAGUGGAUUUUGUGAACGAUGUAAACCUAGCUGGUAUGGUCCACAGUGUAAAUGUAAAGGACACUGUGCUCAGAAUAGCGAGAAUAGCUGUGGCACAGAUGGAAUAUGUUCAGCUUGUUCUCCUGGAUGGUACGGACAAAACUGUCUCCAAAACUGUUCAUCAAAUUGUUUGAGAGAAGACUGCGAACGAUAUACAGGAACUUGUAGCAGUUGCCAGGCCGGAUUCUUUGAUAAUGACUGUCAUAGUAUUUGUCCUGACAACUGUUUCAGUUCCGAAUGCUUAAAGAGUGAUGGAAAAUGCAAGUAUGGAUGCAAGUCUAGGGGAUUCGGAGAUUUUUGUAAUUCAACGUGCCCGCAUCAUUGUGAUGAACAGGGAUGCUUAAAUGGUGAUUGUUACGGUUGUGAGUAUGGAUGGUAUGGUUUGCAGUGUCAAUGCAGAGGUCAUUGUUCUACACUGGGACAGUGUAACAAAGAUGGAAGGUGUGAUCUGUGUAAAUUCGGAUAUUUUGGAGAAAACUGCAACCAGACAUGUCCUCAAAAUUGUAAAGGAAGUUGUCAUAGAGAUAAAGGUUCAUGUGAUCAAUGCAUUCUUGGUUACCAUGGAGAAUUUUGUAAUGAGCCAUGUCCUUCAAAUUGUAACAACGAUAUUUGUAAUAAAGCCGACGGUACUUGUUCUAAUUGUGACGCAGGAUGGUAUGGGUCCAAAUGCAAAUGUACUGGACAAUGUGGACCUGGGGAGUGUCAUUCAAAUGGAACUUGCUUUACGUGUGCUGUUGGCUAUCAUGGACUAUCAUGCAAUGACUUGUGUUUGUCAACUUGUACAAGGAAGGGCUGCCUACGUGAAAAUGGAAAUUGUCUAGAAUGUCAAGUGAAAACGUCUGGAUCGUUCUGUAAUUGUAGUGGAUAUUGUUUAAAUGGUGAAUGUAAUGCUGCAGGUAUAUGCAAGAAAUGUAAUGCAUCAUGGCAUGGAAACAAUUGCGACCAGUCUUGCCCGAAAAACUGUGCGACUAAAAAUUGUGAUCGCUCAACAGGUGCGUGUUCUGACGGAUGCAUAAACGGCUUUUUUGGACAAAAAUGCACGUGCUUAGGUAACUGUAAAAGUGGAUGUGAUGAUACAGGAAAGUGUUUUGAAUGUGAAGAUGGAUGGCAGGGUACUCAGUGUACCCAAAAAUGUCCAGUCAAUUGUAUAUCAGCAUGCACGAGAAACAAUGGACAUUGUCUCCAAUGUAAAACUGAUUGGUAUGGCAAUGAGUGUACAUGCACUGGACAUUGUGAUUCUAGUGAAUGUGACGAAAACGGAAUUUGUUUUUCAUGUGCGGAUGGUUGGUCAGGGGAAAAUUGUACACUGUCUUGUCCAAAAAAUUGUAAAGGCAAUAUUUGCCUACGUAGUGGAAAUUGUGUCAGUUGUAAAAGUGGGUGGUAUGGAAGUACGUGCCAAUGUUCUGGUCAAUGUUCAGAUAGAGGUUGCAACGUGACCUCUGGGAUUUGUCAUGAAUGUGAAAUAGGUUUCCAUGGAAGAACAUGUCUUGAUGCAUGUCCCCCAAACUGUGACAACUCGGAAUGCACACGUAACGGUCAAUGUUUGUCUUGUAUAGCAGAUUGGUAUGGUGAUAAAUGUUAUUGUUCGGGAAACUGUGGUAUAUCGGGUUGCAACAUAGAAACACACCAGUGUUACAACUGUGAAAAGGGUUGGCACGGUCCAAAAUGUCUGCAAACAUGUCCGUUUAAUUGUGAUGACACGGGAUGCAAUAGAAAUUCAGGUGACUGUUUAACCUGCGUUCCAAACCGUUCCGGUGAUAAAUGCCACUGUAUUGGAUAUUGCGAUGAUUCUCAUCCGAACAUGUGCACUAACACUGGAGAUUGCUACAACUGCAGCAAAACAUACUUCGGGGUUAACUGCGAUCAAAUGUGUUCAAAAUACUGUGACGGAUGUGAUAGGAAGUCCGGAUCGUGCACUUCAUGUAAGCAAGGUCUUUAUGGUCAAACAUGUCAACUGACAUGCAGUACUGAUUGUAUCGAACUACGCUGUGGUAAAGACGAUGGAAAGUGUCUACGGUGUGGUCCAGGUCAAUAUGGUGAUUUCUGUGAGAAAAAUUGUAGUUCUAAUUGCAUUAGUGGAUAUUGUUCUUUAAAUGGUACAUGUCCACUGGGGUGUAAAUCUGGGUGGAAAGGCUUGUCAUGUAUAGAACCUACUGGCAUAAGUUUGGUAUUGAUUGUAGUCAUGUCAGUUUGUGGACUUGUUAUAUUCUUGCUGGUGUUUGUUUUCAUCUCAUGUGCCUGCAGAAGGAAAGAAAUGACACAAGCAACUUGUAUAAGUACAACUAAGAUAUUAUAUAUAUCGCGUAGUGUACAGUGUUAUAUCAGUAAAAGUAUAGAAGAGACCCAGGGGAUGGAAAGGGAAAAUACACAGCAACAACACAUUUAAGGAGAUGGGGGACUGUAGUUCGUACUCAUACACCAAACAUCCACCAUCCUGCUAAUAGAGAGGCUAAUAACGGACAUAUAACAGAUAGGUAUAUGGAUGCUGAAAUGUAGAAUUAGAGAUUAUUAAUCAGCCUACAACUUCCGCUUUUAACGUGCAAUACAAAACUAAAAAAUCCAUUAUGUUCACAAAAAUACUCGUGCCAAAGUCAUGACUAGUCACAAAAUACAGUGCUUCAACAUGUGUUCACAAGCUUAUAAAGCUGCUGCAGAACAUUGUAUUUAACAUUAUGUAUAAGUCUUUGUAAAUGAACUGUCUUUCACAAAAUUUCAUUGGUGUUAAGACCGAAUGGAUGAAACCUGAGACUAGUGAGUAGUCUUAGGUUAAAAACAAGUUUCUGUUGGAAUGAAAAAUCUUUGUUAUCUACUAUCAACCGUCAAAGACGUUAUCAUUAGAA